This 644-nucleotide long non-coding RNA is filed under the name Nicotiana benthamiana. Its description in RNAcentral is "long non-coding RNA (NBEN_LNC023731)". The record is from RNAcentral. Lineage: Eukaryota; Viridiplantae; Streptophyta; Magnoliopsida; Solanales; Solanaceae.
UAUCUAAUUCCUGUUUCUUUAAAUUUGUCAUCCACGAUAUCACAUCAUAGAAACGAGAUAUGUCAUUAGUGUAUAAAGUACGAGCCUUUUCCUAAAUCAAAUAAUAUGUCAGGAAUGAACGAAACAAUGGCAUCAACUUGGAAUCAAUAGAUCGCCACAAAAUACUGCAUAAUUGAGCAUCGAUCUUCUCCCGGUGUGCUUUGGCUUUUUUAUCUCCUUCACUAGACUCCUUGAUUAGAUGAUCUUAAACACCUUGACCUUUACACCACAACUCGACAGACAAAGCCUAAGCUAAGUAGUUGGAACCUCCCAUUAAAGGUUCUGAGGUAAUCAUAACACCGGAAUUGCCAGAAGCGGAGUUUUUAGGCCCGAAAGCAUCGACUCCCUAAGACAUCAUGAAAACUUGCUGAAACAGAUGAAGAAAAUACUGUUUUUGCCGGAAAAUUACUGUAGUUGCCGGGAAAAAUCACUGUAGAUGCCGGAAAAAAUUCUCAAAGACAUCGUGAAAACUUGCUGAAACAGAUGAAGGAAAUACUGUUUUUGCCGGGAAAUUACUGUAGUUGCCGGAAAAAAUCAAUGUAGAUGCCGGAAAAAAUUCAAAGUGGUCGGAAUUGAAAAGUAAAAAGAUGGGUAGGCUCGGAAUU